GCCUGGGUGGCUCAGUCAGUUAAGCGUCUGACUUUGGCUCAGGUCAUGAUCUCACUGUUUGUGGGUUCCAGCCCCAUGUCGGGCU
This 85-nucleotide transfer RNA is filed under the name Felis catus (domestic cat). It matches the Rfam family "tRNA". Rfam says of the family: Transfer RNA (tRNA) molecules are approximately 80 nucleotides in length. Their secondary structure includes four short double-helical elements and three loops (D, anti-codon, and T loops). RNAcentral also lists the same sequence under 3 other names. The record is from Rfam by way of RNAcentral. Lineage: Eukaryota; Metazoa; Chordata; Mammalia; Carnivora; Felidae.